UUUUAUUUGAGAGUUUGAUCCUGGCUCAGGAUGAACGCUGGCGGCGUGCCUAACACAUGCAAGUUGAGCGAUUUACUUCGGUAAAGAGCGGCGGACGGGUGAGUAACGCGUGGGUAACCUACCCUGUACACACGGAUAACAUACCGAAGGGUAUGCUAAUACGGGAUAAUAUAUUUGAGAGGCAUCUCUUAAAUAUCAAAGGUGAGCCAGUACAGGAUGGACCCGCGGCUGAUUAGCUAGUUGGUAAGGUAACGGCUUACCAAGGCGACGAUCAGUAGCCGACCUGAGAGGGUGAUCGGCCACAUUGGAACUGAGACACGGUCCAAACUCCUACGGGAGGCAGCAGGGGGGGAUAUUGCACAAUGGGCGGAAGCAUGAUGCAGCAACGCCGCGUGAGUG
This 399-nucleotide ribosomal RNA is filed under the name Clostridioides difficile. RNAcentral's name for it is "bacterial SSU rRNA". It matches the Rfam family "Bacterial small subunit ribosomal RNA", at positions 1 to 407 of the family's 1533-position model. Lineage: Bacteria; Bacillati; Bacillota; Clostridia; Peptostreptococcales; Peptostreptococcaceae. The record is from RNAcentral.